Xiphophorus couchianus (Monterrey platyfish) is the source of this 123-nucleotide long non-coding RNA. RefSeq lists it as uncharacterized. The record is from RefSeq and is a predicted model, not a curated record. The transcript has 2 exons. NCBI's taxonomy places the organism in Eukaryota, Metazoa, Chordata, Actinopteri, Cyprinodontiformes, Poeciliidae.
GACUGCUGGAUUUCUCCCGGAGGCCCCAGAUAAUCUUACACCGAAUGGAUUCCCUGAAGUGUAACGUUUGUAACCAGGAGAGGAGAUCCACUCUGGACCAGGAGGAGUUAGAACCUGUGCAGG